CCUACGGGAGGCAGCAGUGAGGAAUAUUGGUCAAUGGGCGGGAGCCUGAACCAGCCAAGUCGCGUGAAGGAAGAAGGUACUUAGUAUUGUAAACUUCUUUUGUCGGGGAACAAAGGCGGAGACGCGUCUCCGGAUGAGUGUACCCGAAGAAAAAGCAUCGGCUAACUCCGUGCCAGCAGCCGCGGUAAUACGGAGGAUCCGAGCGUUAUCCGGAUUUAUUGGGUUUAAAGGGAGCGUAGAUGGGUUGUUAAGUCAGUUGUGAAAGUUUGCGGCUCAACCGUAAAAUUGCAAUUGAUACUGGCAGUCUUGAGUACAGUUGAGGUAGGCGGAAUUCGUGGUGUAGCGGUGAAAUGCUUAGAUAUCACGAAGAACCCCGAUUGCGAAGGCAGCUUACUAAACUGUGACUGACAUUGAUGCUCGAAAGUGUGGGUAUCAAACAGGAUUAGAUACCCGGGUAGUC
This 460-nucleotide ribosomal RNA is filed under the name uncultured bacterium. RNAcentral describes it as "partial 16S ribosomal RNA". It matches the Rfam family "Bacterial small subunit ribosomal RNA", at positions 338 to 795 of the family's 1533-position model. The record is from RNAcentral.